CAUCGCCAUUUUGCGGUUUGGGAGCUUGGAGAGAGGUGCGCCGAAUUUGUGAAUUAAAAUCUAUCGCCAUCAGAGCUGAACUUGUAUUAAUCGAGGAAAACGGACAUCUGGGACACUGGUCACAUGAUCUGAAGCGCACCCUAGUCACCAUUUUAAAAGAGUCAGUUUGUCGUGUCCACCUGGGGGGUGUUUGUCUGGUGGUAG
Long non-coding RNA from Thalassophryne amazonica, 204 nucleotides. RefSeq lists it as uncharacterized. Lineage: Eukaryota; Metazoa; Chordata; Actinopteri; Batrachoidiformes; Batrachoididae. The transcript has 3 exons. The record is from RefSeq and is a predicted model, not a curated record.